CCAUGCAGCAUGACAAGUCAGUGUAGGUUAAAGGGUGGCAAUGUGGUAUGUAACUGUACUGGGUCGGGAUAUACAGGAUCAACAUGCACCACUGAUAUAGACGAAUGUGCAACUGGCGCGGACAAUUGUGAUGAUAACGCCCAAUGUACAAACACAAAUGCACGUGCGCCUGUAACGCAGGAUACUCUGGUAAUGGCGUUUCGUGCGUAGAUAUCAACGAAUGUACAACUAAUACGGACAAUUGUGAUGAGAACGCCGAAUGUACAAACACCGAUGGAGGCUUCACGUGCGCCUGUAAC
Long non-coding RNA from Ruditapes philippinarum (Manila clam), 299 nucleotides. RefSeq lists it as uncharacterized. The record is from RefSeq and is a predicted model, not a curated record. Lineage: Eukaryota; Metazoa; Mollusca; Bivalvia; Venerida; Veneridae. The transcript has 3 exons.